RNAcentral lists this ribosomal RNA (533 nucleotides) under uncultured bacterium. RNAcentral's name for it is "bacterial SSU rRNA". It matches the Rfam family "Bacterial small subunit ribosomal RNA", at positions 338 to 865 of the family's 1533-position model. The record is from RNAcentral.
CCUACGGGAGGCAGCAGUAGGGAAUCUUCCGCAAUGGACGAAAGUCUGACGGAGCAACGCCGCGUGAACGAUGAAGGCCUUCGGGUCGUAAAGUUCUGUUGUUAGGGAAGAACAAGUGUUAGUUGAAUAAGCUGGCACCUUGACGGUACCUAACCAGAAAGCCACGGCUAACUACGUGCCAGCAGCCGCGGUAAUACGUAGGUGGCAAGCGUUGUCCGGAAUUAUUGGGCGUAAAGCGCGCGCAGGCGGUUUCUUAAGUCUGAUGUGAAAGCCCCCGGCUCAACCGGGGAGGGUCAUUGGAAACUGGGAAACUUGAGUGCAGAAGAGGAAAGUGGAAUUCCAAGUGUAGCGGUGAAAUGCGUAGAGAUUUGGAGGAACACCAGUGGCGAAGGCGACUUUCUGGUCUGUAACUGACGCUGAGGCGCGAAAGCGUGGGGAGCAAACAGGAUUAGAUACCCUGGUAGUCCACGCUGUAAACGAUGAGUGCUAAGUGUUAGAGGGUUUCCGCCUUUAGUGCUGAAGUUACGNAUAGC